RNAcentral lists this ribosomal RNA (480 nucleotides) under uncultured bacterium. RNAcentral describes it as "partial 16S ribosomal RNA". It matches the Rfam family "Bacterial small subunit ribosomal RNA", at positions 28 to 507 of the family's 1533-position model. The record is from RNAcentral.
GACGAACGCUGGCGGCGUGCUUAACACAUGCAAGUCGAACGAUGAAGCAAAGAAUUGAAGCUUCGGCAGAAAUUCAUUUCGGAUUAGUGGCAGACGGGUGAGUAACGCGUGAGCAACCUACCUCUUACAAAGGGAUAGCCUCGGGAAACCGGGAUUAAUACCAUAUAACAUUGCGACGAAGCAUUUCGAUGCAAUCAAAGCUACGGCGGUAAGAGAUGGGCUCGCGUCCCAUUAACCAGAUGGUGAGGUAACGGCUCACCAUAGUAACGAUGGGUAACCGGCCUGAGAGGGUGAACGGUCACACUGGAACUGAGACACGGUCCAGACUCCUACGGGAGGCAGCAGUGGGGAAUAUUGCACAAUGGAGGGAACUCUGAUGCAGCGACGCCGCGUGAGUGAUGAAGGAAUUCGUUUCGUAAAACUCCGUUCUAUGGGAAGAAAAGGACUGUACCAUAGGAGAAAGCUCCGGCUAAAUACGUG